Non-coding RNA from Picea glauca (white spruce), 119 nucleotides. NCBI's taxonomy places the organism in Eukaryota, Viridiplantae, Streptophyta, Pinopsida, Pinales, Pinaceae. The record is from Rfam.
AGGUGCGAUCAUAACAGCGUUAAUGCACUGGAUCCCAUAGAAACUUCGAUGUUAAGCGCGCUUGGCCUAGAGUAGUACUAGGAUGGGUGACCUCUUGGCAAGUCCUAGUGUUGUACCCU